UUACAUACUGACGGGACAAAAUUCUGAUAGUCCGUUUCUCGGCUAUGUAACCUUAAAAAUUCGAAUAAAGCCAAUGAGUUGUGAACGUCUCCGUGUAAAAUCAUUCAAUUGUCAUUAGUCCCUAUUAUGCCUGGUGGGCAUAUGCAUUAAAAGAGGAUAAGUUGGUCAAAUGGCUAAUGACCCUAAAUACAGUACUACGGAUAUAAGAAAAAAGAAGUUUUUUUGCACACCUUGAAAGAAUGAAAUAAAUAACAACAGAUUAGAUGUGCAAUCACAAUAAUAGAUGGUUUUUUCGCUAAAAGCAAUCUCUUCCCAGCAACAACUUAAGGUACAAAAUGUGAAAAUAUAUAUUCUACUAUGAUUUUAACAAGUUGAACUCCAUGUCCACAGCAUACUUUUCCUUAGAGCCGAACCAAUAUAUUAAGAAUCCUACAAAAAUUGUUGUAUUUUUUUGCAAACAGUGUCAAAAAAUAACACAAAAAAAUGGGUAAUUUAUGGAAACAGUGACUACACAUUAUUUUUUUGACAGGCACACAGUGUCCAUCACGACUCCCUGGAUCUGACUUUUUGGUAAUGACAGGGUAUCCGCAAUGGCCCAUUAGCCUAAACAAGGCUGGUGUAGCAUUCAACAUGUUAAUUUAAUCAUAUAAACUGUAGAUCUUUAAUGAACUUUAUAAUCUGAAAAGAGUAAGUGGGAGGCUUUGUAAUUGAAACUGUUCAUCAUCAGGUGGAUAAGGUUUUUCAAAUAGGCUAAAUAUGUGCAUAAAGUCUGCAACCUAAUGGUGUUAGAAACUACUCAUAUAUACCACAGAGUUAACAGUCACCAACUUUAAGACAUGAAGUCUAAAUCUCAAUCGAUUGUCUCAUGAUGGUCUCGUCUGCCCACCUAAAUGUAUUACUGCUCUAUGGCAGGAAUAGCAUCUGUGCAGAGUGUAAAAAGCAUCUUGGUACCAAAAUUUAAAUUAUAUUUCAAACAUUGAUAAACAACAAACAUUAAUAAACACAAACUGUGUGUAAAUUUUUAGAAUAUUCUGUAUUUUACAUGAAGCUUGUAAAUAUUUUAAGAAGCAGCAGUUAUAAGCAAAUAAAUAAUUCAUUGGAGAUUGGAAUCACACAUCCUGUUUAUACAUUGUUCAAUUUUGAAGUUUGUGACUUUACAUUAAGAUUUGGAUUAUGAAAAAAGACAUGUAUUACAAAUUUUAAAAAUUAAUCAGGGGAACAGGAAAUUUUAAUAAAAGUAUGUAGGUAAA
This is a long non-coding RNA of Bombyx mori (domestic silkworm), 1250 nucleotides long. RefSeq lists it as uncharacterized. The transcript is spliced from 3 exons. Lineage: Eukaryota; Metazoa; Arthropoda; Insecta; Lepidoptera; Bombycidae. The record is from RefSeq and is a predicted model, not a curated record.